UACAAUAGAAGUUUUUGUUUAGACAUUUGUUUAGGCCUCUGUUUGUGUCAUGUUGAUGGUACCUCCACUCCCAGGCGAUAACCUAAUUUGUUUGCAGAGUUCGGUAUUGAACUGUCUUGAGUCGAUUUAUCUUUGGCAACCAAUGGCAACUCUCAAAUAUUUUAACUUCCGCAUCUUUUUUUGUUUUAUUGCAGAAUGUAUCCUAAUGCGAACAGCAGGUGGAGCACAACAUGCACAUUUUUUAAGGGAAUAUUGACGUUUUGUGUGUGUAAGGAGACGCAAAAUGUGUCUUCCUUUUAGGCUAAAAAGUAGAAAAACCUAAGUAACAUCAUUAUAUCCCAAAAGUCAUUCAUUGUUUAACUAAACAUUAAGCGAUCUAUUAGUCAAAAUGACUCCAUAGCAUUGUUUACAAAACAUAUGGGGGUAACAUUUCAAACGUGUGACCAACCACAUUUAAACAAAGAGCCUUUUUUGUCGAGACACUUAAAAUAAAGUGCAAACACUCCACAGAUAUGUUUGCCACAAGGACAGCAUGUGUCACAUGAAUCCACAGACAUCUGCUUUGUGACAGGCCGGUCCUAAAAGCCCGCAGCUGGUUUCAUGACAGGCGUUCUAUUCUCUCGCUGACUGCCCUCUCUGUGAUCCCUCUUCUGCACAAGCACAACGCUAAUAGUAUAAAAUAAUAGUCCUUACUUGUGUUUUGUGGGGGUCUCUAAGUAAAAAAAUAAAAACAAAAUAAAUCAUACUUGAAAAGAAAAAAGCGUUUUAUUUUGAAAACGAUACCCGGAAGUGGAAUUUUCCAACUCUCGCUUAACGGCGAUCCCACUAAACCAGACGGGGAUACCAGAGUGGCAGAAUUCCAUCUGAUGGGACUGACUGACCAGUGCGAGCAUAGGGAGAUUAUUUCGCCCAAACAGCUUGUAGUAAGCGUCUUUGAAAGGCAGGGCUAUGCUGAGGCGUGUCAGCGAUGACGGAUGUCGAAGUGAGCUUUGAGGACUUCAUCGCUUCCCGGCGGUCUGGCCGCAGAAAUGCCAUCCAUGAAAUCCCCACAGAGAAGCUGCAAGGAUCCAUGGACCUGUCACAGAGACUGGCACAGCUCACCAUCAGCAAGAGCGGGGAAGAACAGGGAGACUCUGAGAGCAACCAGGACUCUUCAGCUAAGGAAGAGGAGGCUCAAGCUGAAGGCAGCUAACCUGCAGCGAUCCUGUGUAUCUUUUAGCAGUAUAGUGUGAUUUCAGUCCUCUAUGCACCAAAACCAUAACUAUGGCAACUACGCUGCUGUUUCCUUCAAUUUUCUUACCAUCUUUCAUAAUUGACUCUAACAAGCAGAACCAGGCAUUACUGGCAGAGAUUCUAAAAAUGAAGAAAAGCAUUUGAGUGUUUUUAUUUUCGUACGUUUACUGUCUAUUCACAGUCUCUCAGUAUUUUAGUUGCAUACUUAUCCUGUUAUUUAGCUCAGAAAGUUUACCUUUUGGUACAAAUGAUUUCACAACCGCAUUCAGUGGUUUUUGGGGCACACUGUCAGAUUCUGUCCAUAUAUUUGUUUCAUUUAAAAUCGAGUUCUUCUAACUGUUGAAUGAGUUUUAAAGGUCAGUGCAAACACAGUGUUGCCCAUUGCUGUGUAUUUGAAAUAUUUUUUUGACUGACCAAAGAGCUCCUUCUUAUCAGUUCAACAUGAACAGUUGGAGUAAUUGACUGGUCAUGACAGCCCUGCUCUUUUUAGCAGUCUUUUACUUUACUUUAUACUGAAGUGCAGUUGGGAAUCUCAGAGUGUUGUGGUGUGCAAGACAAUUGUUGAAUGCAUAUAGUCCCGUUUUCAACAGUGUCUUUUUAAUAUGUCUUCUAAAUUGGUUGGUUUUAGUUCCUCUGGACCAGGGGUCUGCAACCGGAGGCCCUGGAGCCAUAUGUGGCUCUUUUACCCCUUCAUUUUGGCUCUCUGGUUAAAGAAAAAUAAAAAGUUUUUCAUUUUAAAAAGUAGCUGUAAAGUAAAAAGUAAGGUAGUAAGCAGUGACAGAUAAAAGAAAAAAAUAAUAAUUUAUGGAUCUUUCUGCGAGGCUCCUGACUACAUUACCCAUGAUGCUCCAAUAAUCCAUCACCCGGUUCAGCUUUGACGUUCAAAAAAGUCAGAACAAGACAUUUAGAUGGAUUUUUGAGCUCUGUGUUCACCAAAAAAUUCAACCUUAGGUCUGGAAACACAACCAGAAUUCCUAUUUAUAGCAGAUUAUCUAUUUUUUUAACAAAGUCAAGGAUUUUAGGUGUGCCUGAUGGUUAAAAAAAUAUGGUAGAGGUCACUUAAUUAGCUGUGAUUUAAUUAUUGUUAGCUAGAUUUACAAAUUUCUGGCUGGAUGCACAACAAGUAGUAAUACAUGUAUAUAAACUAUAUAGUACUUUAUAUAUAUACACUACUAGGAAAUCAUGUGAACCUAUGUCUAACAUUAUAAACUAUUUAUUUAGGGGGGAAAAAAGGUAAUUUUCUUCUUAUGUAUGUUUUAUUUAUGACAAAAAACAAACAUUUAUUUAUAUUUAUCAUAAUACCAAUAACAUAAAUAAAUAAUUUUUCUAAAACAUGAAGUAAGGAUUUGUGGCUCCUUCUGGGUUGUGGUUGGUGAGACUUGGCCCCGAAAGUGUUAAAGGUUGCAGACCCCUGCUCUAGACUGUCUCUUGCACCUCAGACUGCACUGUUCAAAUAUAAUUCCAAGAUUAAAAGUGUUACAAGAAAGUCAAAUUUUUAUUGUAGAAUUAUUUUCUGGAUUCUUUUUUUAUUUUUUUUAUCUGUACAUUUUCAUAAAAUGUAUUUAUCCAAACAGUACCCACCUUUUUAGGAUGCAGGAAUUCUUUUCUAAAUUCCUGAACACUGUUUUUACAGUAUAUUCAGUUAGUCUAUUCUUCCCUACAUCCUUUCCAGAUGGGUGUGUCAGUAUGAUCAAAUAAACUGUGAUUUGUAAGUUUCAGAAGACAAUACGUAGUUUUGGAUGAUGAGAAAAACAGCACUAUAUAAAAGACGUUUAUGUGGUUAUUAAUCAAUUUAUGACCAAUGUCUGCUGCAAUAAUUACUUGGGUGGUUGUUCAUAUGUCUUUUGAACCUUUUUUAAUAAAAAAAAAAUACAUUUGUAA
This is a non-coding RNA of Oryzias latipes (Japanese medaka), 3114 nucleotides long. Lineage: Eukaryota; Metazoa; Chordata; Actinopteri; Beloniformes; Adrianichthyidae. The record is from RefSeq and is a predicted model, not a curated record.